UAACCAGGAUUCCCCUAGUAACGGCGAGUGAAGCGGGAAGAGCUCAAGCUUAAAAUCUCUAUGCAAGUUUUGCAUGGCGAAUUGUAGUCUAUAGAGGCGCUGUCAGUGCAGCUAUUUGGGAUAAGUUCCUUGGAAGAGGACAGCAUCGAGGGUGAUACUCCCGUUUGUGCCUGAGUAGCUUGUGCGUACGACACGUUUUCUUUGAGUCGCGUUGUUUGGGACUGCAGCGCAAAGUAGGUGGUAAAUUCCAUCUAAAGCUAAAUAUUGGUGCGAGACCGAUAGCGAACAAGUACCGUGAGGGAAAGAUGAAAAGAACUUUGAAAAGAGAGUUAAAGAGUACCUGAAACUGCUGAAAGGGAAGCGAAUCGUAUCCAGUGUCUAUAAUCUGUAGCAUAUUUCAUUGGCGAGUAGGUGCGUGCAGUAUGUAAGAAGUGGUUUUCUGCUCUUUGUGCUGUUCUGCGUUUGCUUGUUGGUGCCCUGUGUUGCGGUGGGACGUCAGAGUCAGUUCGUAUGCUGUGAGAAAUGGCUACUGAGGAGGUAGGUUAGGAGCUUGCUCUUGGCUGUUAUAUCUUGGUAGUUAGUUGUCGUGGUUGGGACUGAGGUGCCUACAAUGUGCUUUAAAGUGUUUGGGACUCUCGUUUGGUUACCUGUUUGGAUAGCUUGCUAUGCUGACGGAGUGAUUGGUCGAUUGAGAUCUAGAGUAACUUUUGCCGUUCGGGACUUUGACGAAAUGGAGCGAUUCGGCCCGUCUUGAAAC
This 757-nucleotide ribosomal RNA is filed under the name Globisporangium ultimum var. ultimum. RNAcentral's name for it is "eukaryotic LSU rRNA". It matches the Rfam family "Eukaryotic large subunit ribosomal RNA", at positions 66 to 660 of the family's 3401-position model. Lineage: Eukaryota; Oomycota; Peronosporomycetes; Pythiales; Pythiaceae. The record is from RNAcentral.